GGGGUUGUGGCUCAGCAGUAGAGCGCUUGCCUAGCACCCAGGCCCUGGGUUCGAUACUCAGAACCACA
This 68-nucleotide transfer RNA is filed under the name Marmota monax (woodchuck). RNAcentral describes it as "tRNA.Ala". The record is from RNAcentral. Lineage: Eukaryota; Metazoa; Chordata; Mammalia; Rodentia; Sciuridae.